CGCUCUUUCCGCCGUGGUGGAGCAGCAUUAUAUUGCAGAGGUGUUGUCGUGAUAAUGGAAUAAGUUAUGGAAAGACGAAAAUUCAAAAGGAAAGAAAAAGAAUUCUUCAUGACACAGAUCAAUUGUCGAGUGAUCCUCUAAAGAAAAUCCCACUGAAAAUUAACAGUUUAAACAAAAAGAGAUGAAAAAAGAGAGAUUAAUAUCAUAAUUAAGUAGAAAAACGAAGCAAAACCCUUUCAUGUACAGCUCAAACUCAUUUAUUUGAAAGGGAAAAGGAAAGAAAAAGAAGAAGAAGAUGGGAAUGAGGUUGUAAAGAUGACAAGGAUAAAUGAUUACCUUGAGCAGGGUAAGGAGAAGCAUGCCUGGGGUCACUCAUCUCUACCGAGACUCUCCAGAAUUGUAGAUGUUGAGAUUGAAGGAAAUACUGUAUUUUAGGAG
This 438-nucleotide long non-coding RNA is filed under the name Populus trichocarpa (black cottonwood). RNAcentral describes it as "long non-coding RNA (PTRI_LNC003403)". Lineage: Eukaryota; Viridiplantae; Streptophyta; Magnoliopsida; Malpighiales; Salicaceae. The record is from RNAcentral.